GAUGAACGCUGGCGGCGUGCCUAACACAUGCAAGUCGAGCGGAGACCUCUGAAUAGCAAUAGGAUGGGGUUUUAGCGGCGGACGGGUGAGUAACACGUGAGCAAUCUGCCUUCUGCAGGGGAAUAACAUUGUGAAAACAGUGCUAAUACCGCAUGAAGUGUGCCCGGGGCAUCCCGGGUCCACCAAAGGAGAAAUCCGGCAGGAGAUGAGCUCGCGUCCGAUUAGGUAGUUGGUGAGGUAAUGGCCCACCAAGCCUGCGAUCGGUAGCCGAACUGAGAGGUUGACCGGCCACAUUGGGACUGAGACACGGCCCAGACUCCUACGGGAGGCUG
Molecule: ribosomal RNA, 332 nt
Filed under: uncultured Bacillota bacterium
Lineage: Bacteria; Bacillati; Bacillota
Description: bacterial SSU rRNA
Rfam family: Bacterial small subunit ribosomal RNA
Source: RNAcentral